RNAcentral lists this ribosomal RNA (380 nucleotides) under uncultured bacterium. RNAcentral's name for it is "bacterial SSU rRNA". It matches the Rfam family "Bacterial small subunit ribosomal RNA", at positions 28 to 411 of the family's 1533-position model. The record is from RNAcentral.
GACGAACGCUGGCGGCGUGCUUAACACAUGCAAGUCGAACGGUGACGGAGAGCUUGCUCUCCUGAUCAGUGGCGAACGGGUGAGUAACACGUGGGCAACCUGCCCAGACUUCGGGAUAACGCUUCGAAAGAGGUGCUAAUACCGGAUACGAGCUCCUUGGGCAUCCUUGGAGUUGGAAAGUUUUUCGGUCUGGGAUGGGCCCGCGGCCUAUCAGCUAGUUGGUGAGGUAACGGCUCACCAAGGCGACGACGGGUAGCCGGCCUGAGAGGGCGACCGGCCACACUGGGACUGAGACACGGCCCAGACUCCUACGGGAGGCAGCAGUGGGGAAUAUUGCGCAAUGGGCAAAGCCUGACGCAGCAACGCCGCGUGAGGGAUGA